AGCAAACAAACAAAACCAGCUGAAAAUCAAGUAAUUAAAUGUGAGAUAUUUUUGAAGUAUGACUUCUAAUUUCUUGUACUUCAGCAUCCCCACCUGUAGAGGGACUGUCUCAACUGGAUGUUGAGAAGUUUUGUUGGUAAGCUGGAAGGACAUCAUUAGUACUGCUCUCAAUUUGUUCUAUAAAAACUCAGGAGAGGAACAAUCCAUGGUGAUUCCUUUUCCCUAGCACAGCUAUCUCCGCGAUGCUCUGUCAGCUGAAUUUCUGUUGCCCUUCAAUGGACUUGCUUCUAAAUCUCACAGAUACUGAGGUCUAUGCAGCUCUGAAUCUCCGUGCCAGUUAUCUGCGAGGGGUGACUGUGCAAACCUUGUCAGCAUAACCCUAAAGGAUCUGUACUUUCUGCUAAGAGAUCCUGUGGAAAUGAUGAACGCAUGCCUUCACAGUACUUCUCCAUCCUGUUAUGCUCAUCCAUAAGCAUAUCUGCAAUAAUUGAGGAGGAUGUUUUAGCUGGGGGGCCUCUACUCAAAUAUACAUAAUUGGGACUCUCUGCAGGGAGCCUUUGCUUGCAUUUUGGUGGCUAGAAUAGCCUAAAUAUCAAUGCUCUGAAAUUUACAAGCUAAAGAAGGAAACUUCAUGGGGAAAUUUUUCCAAUUUUAGGUCUCCAAAUUGCCUGAUGGGCUGUAGAUUGAUUUCUGUACCAAAGGUACAUUUGCUCAUUUACAACCAUUCUCAGCAUUUUCAAAAAGGAAUGCCUAAAGCUUUUGGGAAGAAUAUUCAGCUUUUUGGGGAAGUGUCUGAAAUAUUUAGCAGAUCCUCAGAUGCGGAGUUUUUUGGUAACUUUGAAUAACAAGAAGAGAUUUGAAAUGAAUACAUUCAAUGCUUGGAAUACGCAGCGUACAGCAAAAGUAAUGACAUUUAUCUGUAGUAUCUCUGAGGGAUGAAUUCAAAGCAUAUUUAUAAUGUAAAUGUAAAUUUGUUGAUGAUACAUAUUAAUACUGCA
RNAcentral lists this long non-coding RNA (998 nucleotides) under Coturnix japonica (Japanese quail). Its description in RNAcentral is "lncRNA (ENSCJPG00005016254.1)". The record is from RNAcentral. Lineage: Eukaryota; Metazoa; Chordata; Aves; Galliformes; Phasianidae.